Molecule: non-coding RNA, 123 nt
Organism: Methylobacterium sp. Leaf456
Lineage: Bacteria; Pseudomonadati; Pseudomonadota; Alphaproteobacteria; Hyphomicrobiales; Methylobacteriaceae
Source: Rfam
AACCGUUCCAGGGAGAUCCCCGUCAAGGGGCUGAGAAACCGCUAGAGCCGUCACCGGCAGCGCGGAAAUCCUUCGAACCUGAUCCGGCUCAUACCGGCGUAGGGAUUGGACCUGACGCGUCGC